GGACGGGUGAGUAACACGUGGGUAACCUGCCCAGAAGCAGGGGAUAACACCUGGAAACAGAUGCUAAUACCGUUAUAACAGAGAAAACCGCCUGGUUUUCUUUUAAAAGAUGGCUCUGCUAUCACUUCUGGAUGGACCCGCGGCGCAUUAGCUAGUUGGUGAGGUAACGGCUCACCAAGGCGAUGAUGCGUAGCCGACCUGAGAGGGUAAUCGGCCACAUUGGGACUGAGACACGGCCCAGACUCCUACGGGAGGCAGCAGUAGGGAAUCUUCCACAAUGGACGCAAGUCUGAUGGAGCAACGCCGCGUGAGUGAAGAAGGGUUUCGGCUCGUAAAGCUCUGUUGUUAAAGAAGAACGUGGGUGAGAGUAACUGUUCACCCAGUGACGGUAUUUAACCAGAAAGCCACGGCUAACUACGUGCCAGCAGCCGCGGUAAUACGUAGGUGGCAAGCGUUAUCCGGAUUUAUUGGGCGUAAAGCGAGCGCAGGCGGUCUUUUAAGUCUAAUGUGAAAGCCUUCGGCUCAACCGAAGAAGUGCAUUGGAAACUGGGAGACUUGAGUGCAGAAGAGGACAGUGGAACUCCAUGUGUAGCGGUGAAAUGCGUAGAUAUAUGGAAGAACACCAGUGGCGAAGGCGGCUGUCUGGUCUGUAACUGACGCUGAGGCUCGAAAGCAUGGGUAGCGAACAGGAUUAGAUACCCUGGUAGUCCAUGCCGUAAACGAUGAUUACUAAGUGUUGGAGGGUUUCCGCCCUUCAGUGCUGCAGCUAACGCAUUAAGUAAUCCGCCUGGGGAGUACGACCGCGAGGUUGAAACUCAAAAGAAUUGACGGGGGCCCGCACAAGCGGUAGGAGCAUGUGGUUUAAUUCGAAGCUACGCGAAGAACCUUACCAGGUCUUGACAUCUUCUGCCAACCUAAGAAGAUUAGGCGUUCCCUUCGGGGACAGAAUGACAGGUGGGUGCAUGGUUGUCGUCAGCUCGUGUCAUGAAAAUGGUUGGGU
RNAcentral lists this ribosomal RNA (1000 nucleotides) under Pediococcus acidilactici. Its description in RNAcentral is "bacterial SSU rRNA". It matches the Rfam family "Bacterial small subunit ribosomal RNA", at positions 100 to 1080 of the family's 1533-position model. Lineage: Bacteria; Bacillati; Bacillota; Bacilli; Lactobacillales; Lactobacillaceae. The record is from RNAcentral.